Molecule: ribosomal RNA, 365 nt
Filed under: uncultured bacterium
Lineage: Bacteria
Description: bacterial SSU rRNA
Rfam family: Bacterial small subunit ribosomal RNA
Source: RNAcentral
UCAGGCCUAACACAUGCAAGUCGAACGGGCGUAGCAAUACGUCAGUGGCAGACGGGUGAGUAACACGUGGGAACCUUCCUAGAGGUACGGAACAACUCAGGGAAACUUGAGCUAAUACCGUAUAAGCUCUUGCAAGGAAAGAUUUAUCGCCUUUAGACGGGCCCGCGUAGGAUUAGCUAGUUGGUGGGGUAACGGCCUACCAAGGCGACGAUCCUUAGCUGAUCUGAGAGGAUGAUCAGCCACACUGGGACUGAGACACGGCCCAGACUCCUACGGGAGGCAGCAGUGGGGAAUCUUGGACAAUGGGCGCAAGCCUGAUCCAGCCAUGCCGCGUGAGUGAAGAAGGCCUUAGGGUUGUAAAGCUC